Molecule: long non-coding RNA, 300 nt
Filed under: Elaeis guineensis (African oil palm)
Lineage: Eukaryota; Viridiplantae; Streptophyta; Magnoliopsida; Arecales; Arecaceae
Description: long non-coding RNA (EGUI_LNC000234)
Source: RNAcentral
GAUCCUAUAAAUAUCUUCUUCCAAACGAAAAAACCGAUAUCUUUCAUGUCUAAAUCUAAAUAAAGUUUUAGUAUGAAAGUUAACUUCCAAUAACCAAAUAGAAUGGAUCUAGAUCUAAUAAAAACAACUCUAACUAGUCAAAUUAAAAAAUUCCUUGAAAUAGCUAUAAGUUAAGGUGUGAAAUUGUAAAUAUCAUUUGUGACUCAAGUUCAUAUGACAAAAAUUGUGUUCGUAUCAUGCUAGUACAUCUUUUUUAAACUUAUACGAAAACAUUCCAGUUAUCCAUAUAAUGCAUUGCAG